RNAcentral lists this ribosomal RNA (269 nucleotides) under uncultured prokaryote. Its description in RNAcentral is "partial 16S ribosomal RNA". It matches the Rfam family "Bacterial small subunit ribosomal RNA", at positions 524 to 792 of the family's 1533-position model. The record is from RNAcentral.
UACGAAGGUGGCGAGCGUUGUUCGGAAUCACUGGGCUUAAAGCGCGCGUAGGCGGAAAUACAUGUGUCAUGUGAAAUCCCCCGGCUUAACCGAGGCAUUGCGUGGCAAACGGUAUUUCUUGAGGCAAGCAGGGGUGUGUGGAACUCUUGGUGGAGCGGUGGAAUGCGUAGAUAUCAAGAGGAACGCCAAUGGUGAAGACAGCACACUGGGCUUGUCCUGACGCUGAGGUGCGAAAGCGUGGGGAGCGAACGGGAUUAGAUACCCCAGUA